GGGGAAAAAUUUAUUUUUGGUUAUUGGGAGACUCCAUGGGCGAUUGAUUUAGCGGCCGCGAAUUCGCCCUUAGAGUUUGAUCCUGGCUGAGGAUGAACGCUAGCGGCAGGCUUAACACAUGCAAGUCGAACGGUAACAUGAAAGCUUGCUUUUGAUGACGAGUGGCGCACGGGUGCGUAACGCGUAUGCAAUCUACCCUUUACUGGAGAAUAGCCCUUGGAAACGAGGAAUAAUACUCCAUAGAAUAGCUGAAUCGCAUGGUUCUGGUUAUUAAAGCUUCGGCGGUAGAGGAUGAGCAUGCGUCCCAUUAGUUAGUUGGUAAGGUAACGGCUUACCAAGACUUCGAUGGGUAGGGGGCCUGAGAGGGUUAUCCCCCACACUGGUACUGAGACACGGACCAGACUCCUACGGGAGGCAGCAGUGAGGAAUAUUGGUCAAUGGACGAAAGUCUGAACCAGCCAUGCCGCGUGCAGGAUGACUGCCCUAUGGGUUGUAAACUGCUUUUAUAUAGGAAGAAACCCCCGAACGUGUUCGGGGCUGACGGUACUAUAAGAAUAAGGACCGGCUAACUCCGUGCCAGCAGCCGCGGUAAUACGGAGGGUCCAAGCAUUAUCCGGAUUUAUUGGGUUUAAAGGGUACGUAGGCGGAGUUUUAAGUCAGUAGUGAAAGCCCAUCGCUUAACGAUGGAACUGCUAUUGAUACUGAUACUCUUGAAUAUAGUUGAAGUGGGCGGAAUACGGCAUGUAGCGGUGAAAUGCAUAGAUAUGCCGUGGAACACCAAUCGCGAAGCAGCUCACUAAGCUAUUAUUGACGCUAAUGUACGAAAGCGUGGGUAGCGAACAGGAUUAGAUACCCUGGUAGUCCACGCCGUAAACGAUGAUUACUCGGUGCUGGCGAUAUACAGUCAGUGCCUAAGCGAAAGUGAUAAGUAAUCCACCUGGGGAGUACGAUCGCAAGGUUGAAACUCAAAGGAAUUGACGGGGCCCGCACAAGCGGUGAGCAUGUGUUUAAUUCGAUGAUACGCGAGAACCUUACUUGGGCUUAAAUGCAUAAUGACAGACCGGGAAACUGGUUUUUCUUCGACAGAAUGCAAGUGCUGCAUGCUGUCGUCAGCUCGUGCUGUGAGGUGUCGGUUAAUUCCAUAACGAGCGCAACCCCUAUUUUCUAUUGCAGCACAUAUUGUGGGGAAUCCUAAGAAACCGCCCCCGCCACCGUGAUAAAAAAAUAUGACAAACAUACAGUCAUACCGGCCCUCUGUCAGGCUACACACUGCUCUAAUUGGAGUGGACAAAGGAGAGCCCCUCUCUGCUACCAGGACAUAUCACUCUCAAAAAC
Molecule: ribosomal RNA, 1335 nt
Filed under: uncultured bacterium
Lineage: Bacteria
Description: partial 16S ribosomal RNA
Rfam family: Bacterial small subunit ribosomal RNA
Source: RNAcentral